AAAAAGGGCUUCUGUCAUGAGUGGCACACAUAGAGCAACUUGAUUGCUCUUCGUGCGAAAUCAACAUCAAAAGAUUUCAGAAGCAUAAUUUUUUGGUAUUCGGGCAGCUGGUGAUCGUUGUUUCUGGCACCCUU
Saimiri boliviensis boliviensis (Bolivian squirrel monkey) is the source of this 134-nucleotide small nuclear RNA. NCBI's taxonomy places the organism in Eukaryota, Metazoa, Chordata, Mammalia, Primates, Cebidae. The record is from Ensembl.